This 258-nucleotide ribosomal RNA is filed under the name Klebsiella pneumoniae. RNAcentral describes it as "partial 23S ribosomal RNA". It matches the Rfam family "Bacterial large subunit ribosomal RNA", at positions 1396 to 1656 of the family's 2925-position model. Lineage: Bacteria; Pseudomonadati; Pseudomonadota; Gammaproteobacteria; Enterobacterales; Enterobacteriaceae. The record is from RNAcentral.
GCGAGGCCGAAAGGCGUAGUCGAUGGGAAACAGGUUAAUAUUCCUGUACUUGGUGUUACUGCGAAGGGGGGACGGAGAAGGCUAUGUUAGCCGGGCGACGGUUGUCCCGGUUUAAGCAUGUAGGCUGAUUGUCCAGGCAAAUCCGGAUAAUCAAGGCUGAGGUGUGAUGACGAGGCACUACGGUGCUGAAGUAACAAAUGCCCUGCUUCCAGGAAAAGCCUCUAAGCAUCAGGUAACAUUAAAUCGUACCCCAAACCG